This is a long non-coding RNA of Helianthus annuus (common sunflower), 897 nucleotides long. RefSeq lists it as uncharacterized. The transcript has 3 exons. NCBI's taxonomy places the organism in Eukaryota, Viridiplantae, Streptophyta, Magnoliopsida, Asterales, Asteraceae. The record is from RefSeq and is a predicted model, not a curated record.
GUUAAUAGACAGACCAUUUGAGAACAAACAAACAAGCGCAAGGGUUUCUUCCUCAGAGGGCUGUGGAUUUUAAUCCCGAAAAAGCAUCAUGUUUACUACAGCAGUGAAGGCAUUACAGCCCAGAUUUCGACCAGAGCAAAGUCAAACCAUCACAAGGGCUUUAUUUGAAAUCGUACAGGAACAUGGUCCUCUUAGUGUUGCUCAAGCAUGGGAACGCGUUCAGCAAGUUGGUGUAAAAGAUUUAACAAGCAAAACACAGAUGAAGACCGUAUUGAGAUGGAUGAAGGAGAGGCAGAAACUUAAGCAAAUAUGCAACCAUGUCGGUCCCAACAAGCAGUUCCUGUACACCACCUGGUUCACCAAACCGCCCACUGUGACCCAGCCGAGAUCUGGUGUGGUCAAGUCUUCCUAGCCCAAGGCAAUUUUGAUUAUGCAGAACAGUUUUAGACAUCGUUUUUUUGCAUAAUAAGGGGACCCGGGGCGGUCUCCUUUUGUUCCGUGAUAAACCUUUUCAACGCGUUAUACAAUAACAAUUCCCACCCCGCAUGCUUGCUAUAACGCGUUUUAAGUUAACGAAAUCAGAAUUUCGUGAUAUUUUCAACGCGUGAUGGUUGUUUUUUGUGAGUGUAAUUGUUGGUUGGGGGGAAAUUGUUGGGUGUGGUGGUGAGUGAUGACCACCCCGACUAAAAAAGGUUGUGAGUGAUGAAAAAAUGGUUGAUGACAUGGCGGAACUUGAUUGGUGUUUGUGAGUGAUAGUUUCUAUCACUAGUGAACCACCCCCCCUCCCCUAAGCAUGUGUACGGAUCCUUGUUUUGCAGUUUUUUUAUCAACGAACUAUGGUUGCGAUUUGCGAUAUAUAACGUGAUUGUUAUAGUAAAAAAACAAUUUAAACCUAAA